UAAAAUGAUAGAAUUCAUUUGAAUUCAAUUGUUUGAAAUUAUAGAAUAGUAAAAUGAAUGUAUUUAUUUACGUACUUUGCCCUUAUUUAUAAAGAAAUAAACAUAAUUUAAAUAAGGGUGUUUGACCUUCCAAAAACACCAAUUAUAUUUGCUAUUUCCUCUAUUUUACCAUAGGUAGGGAGGAAAUAGCAAGUAUACAUCCUACCUUGUUGGGAUGCUAUGAGUCCUCAAACUAGCCAUUGUUUGAAUCCAUCAUUACUAAUUUGUCUGUUAAACAUGAUACAAUUCUGAUUAAUUUUCUUUUAAUUACUUAAAUUUUUUGUUUCUCAAUCUGAUAAUAUUCCUGCAAGAUGUCUUCGAGAAGCCAUUGAUUUGGUCCAUGCUUUAUAUUCUGUCCUUGGAUAUGAAAGUUUUAAGUUGUUUGAAACUUUAGAGCUUCUUUUAUUGAUGGGGAUCAUCACAGCAGGUUUGUUGAUGUUUGUAAAUAGACAAGCACCAAAAUUGGUUAGGUAUAUAUAUACAUACCUGCUAAUCAUUGUCAACUGUCAAGACCACCCUAACACAUGAAUUUAUUUCAAAUGUUGCAAAAUUUGGCUGCGAGAUCGGUUGUACUUUGGUAUAAUUUUCCAUUCACCGAGAGCUGCUGAGAGAAGUUUGCUUUGGCAACUGCCAUACCAAGUACAUUCCAGAUUUUAUAUGUUCUGCAUUGGCAAGCAAAACAGGGCCACCCGUGCCAAACCAAGGGGAUGAAGGUGCAGAAUAAUUGCACCUUUCAAUUGCAGGCAUAUACAGCCUCAGCACACAUAAAAGCUAAAUUGCUGCAGAACUGAGCAUAUAAUAGUUAGUGAUAAAACAUUCCUAUUUGGACAAAUUCAGUUUUCAAUUCAUAAACAUAAAUUCAGAAGUGAGACAGAAGUUGACCCACAAACACACAUACAAUACAAGUAACACAUUAGCUCAAGGCAUUUGUAAGAUGCAACAAAGGAAACUGAAGCAGUUGAAGUAGGCCAAAUCAAGGCAAACAUCUAUCACUUACUUUAUCUUGAUCAGAAGACAGAGGAUCAUAACUUUACUGCUGAGUCAAAUAGUGAUUACCACGAGUACCAUGAAUAUGAUAUUAACACUUGCUCUUUGCUCACUCAACAAGAUGUUAUUAAGGAUAACUGAAGUGUGAAAACUUUGAUCCAGAAUGAUACUUCUUCAUGUUCAAUUCAUCAUCAAUUUCAGAUUUCCAACUAACCUAACCCUGCUUGCCUCUCCCACUUGAGGUCUGCUGAGAGCUCUGUGAUAGCAGCCCGGGGGUCACCAUUUGAAAUAGACAAGUAAUAUUGAGCAGUCCCAUCAUCAACUUGCAUACUUCUCUUUAAAGAGUCAAGAACCCUUCUCUUGCCUCGGUCAGAGGUUGCCCAGUUUGACAAACACCUCAACUUUCUGUCAGGUUCACCCUCAAGAUACAGCACUGCCACUUCCCUUUUUGCAUAGGUAUCCAACUCUAUGUAGCAUGUGCCAUUCAUGAGAAUUUCUGGAUUGCUUAUAGGGAUUAGUAAUCUCUCCCUGGAAUGUAUACCAUGGUCACUCAUCAUAUUGUUUAACCGUUUUAUGUCCAUAACCUGAACCGAAUACUUGACCGCAAGACUAGCAACAGUAUCCCCCCUUGCAAUCUUAUGCGAAAUAGAGAACUUCCAGAUGCCAUUAUCUCUCCAAAAACUUCCAGACACAGGCUUCCCUAUUACCUCCUUCAAUUUCCACGGACUCAUAAACGCGCUCCUCACAAUUUCACCAUCCGACGCCACCGAGUUCCACACCCUGCAAACGCAGCUCGCCCGCGCCAAGUCUGCCACCGAAAGCUUCUCGAAGAUUAGCUGGAGUGUGUCCCGGCACGUGAGCGCCGAGAAGAGAUGUUGAUUGCGGUCUCAACAGAUAUGUCGGUAGAAGAUUCCGGUGGGUUGAGGUGCCGCGUGAGGAUCCAGUCGUCGUCGCCAAAGCAGCCCAUCGUUUUACCGAGAGAAGAGGGAGAUAUGGGGGAUAUUAAAGUAACAGGAAUUGGAUGGUCGUUUUAAGACUGGGCUUUAUCCUUUUACCAUUAUAUUUUGCCCAUAGGGAUUAUUCAUUAUUGAUAUCAUUUCGAACUUCGCCUUCGUGAUGGUGUUUGUGGCUGUGGCUAUGUUAAUAUCAAGUGGGAAGGAGCAUCCCAGUAUGCCCUUGAGG
Molecule: unclassified non-coding RNA, 2208 nt
Filed under: Hevea brasiliensis (rubber tree)
Lineage: Eukaryota; Viridiplantae; Streptophyta; Magnoliopsida; Malpighiales; Euphorbiaceae
Source: RNAcentral